AUCGCUUCUCGACCUUUUGGCUAAAAUCAAAGUUUGGUUUCUGUUCUUAUCGAAUUAACCUUCGAUGAAGACUCGAAUGAGUCUCGUUAAGAUCAUUUGAUUUUUGGAACCGGAUCAGGUAGUCGGCCUGCUCGCACCUCGUCACGGUUCGGGCCAGCGUUGUACUGUUGCAGGGGUCGAUCCAGUUCCA
This 190-nucleotide small nuclear RNA is filed under the name Necator americanus (New World hookworm). RNAcentral describes it as "U2 spliceosomal RNA". It matches the Rfam family "U2 spliceosomal RNA". Rfam says of the family: U2 is a small nuclear RNA (snRNA) component of the spliceosome (involved in pre-mRNA splicing). Complementary binding between U2 snRNA (in an area lying towards the 5' end but 3' to hairpin I) and the branchpoint sequence (BPS) of the intron results the bulging out of an unpaired adenosine, on the BPS, which initiates a nucleophilic attack at the intronic 5' splice site, thus starting the first of two transesterification reactions that mediate splicing. Lineage: Eukaryota; Metazoa; Nematoda; Chromadorea; Rhabditida; Ancylostomatidae. The record is from Rfam by way of RNAcentral.